This 248-nucleotide non-coding RNA is filed under the name Lactobacillus crispatus. RNAcentral describes it as "T-box sequence". It matches the Rfam family "T-box leader". Rfam says of the family: Uncharged tRNA acts as the effector for transcription antitermination of genes in the T-box leader family. T-boxes are found upstream of many aminoacyl-tRNA synthetase genes and some amino acid biosynthetic genes usually in Gram-positive bacteria. The record is from RNAcentral. Lineage: Bacteria; Bacillati; Bacillota; Bacilli; Lactobacillales; Lactobacillaceae.
UAAAAGGCUAUGAAAAAGACGAGUAAAUAAUCUAAUUCUUUCCAGUGAAUUAGUGCUAGUGGGAAACUAAUAGACCCUGGAUUAUUGAAAAACACUUUUAGCAGCUCACCGAACUAAUACUUCUUAUAGUAGGUUGAGACGUCUCCGGUACGUUACCACGCCGGUGGAGCAUGAUAGUGCUUCAUGAGUCGGUCUAUAAUUAUAGACAAUGUGGGUGGUACCGCGGAAAAAAGCCUUUCGUCCCUGUU